Molecule: small nuclear RNA, 107 nt
Filed under: Microcebus murinus (gray mouse lemur)
Lineage: Eukaryota; Metazoa; Chordata; Mammalia; Primates; Cheirogaleidae
Source: RNAcentral
GCGCUGGCUUCGGCAGCACAUAUACUAAAAUUGGAACAAUGUAGAGAAGAUUAGCAUGGCCCCUGUGAAAGGACGACAUGCAAAUUCGUGAAGCAUUCCACAUUAAG